RNAcentral lists this ribosomal RNA (253 nucleotides) under uncultured bacterium. RNAcentral's name for it is "partial 16S ribosomal RNA". It matches the Rfam family "Bacterial small subunit ribosomal RNA", at positions 524 to 776 of the family's 1533-position model. The record is from RNAcentral.
UACAGAGGUAGCAAGCGUUGUUCGGAAUGACUGGGUGUAAAGCGCGUGUAGGCGGUUUUAUAAGUUGAAUGUGAAAUCUCCCGGCUUAACCGGGAAACGGCAUUCAAAACUGUAUAACUUGAGUGCGGAAGAGGAAAGUGGAAUUUCGGGUGUAGCGGUGAAAUGCGUAGAUAUCCGAAGGAACACCGGUGGCGAAGGCGACUUUCUGGUCCGCAACUGACGCUGAGACGCGAAAGCUAGGGGAGCAAACAGG